Molecule: long non-coding RNA, 1230 nt
Organism: Carya illinoinensis
Lineage: Eukaryota; Viridiplantae; Streptophyta; Magnoliopsida; Fagales; Juglandaceae
Exons: 2
Source: RefSeq, a predicted model, not a curated record
AAUGGUAACUGUUUCACAGGUUCUAUCCCAUCCACUCUGUUCAAGUGCAAACAUCUGCAAAGUUUGGAUUUAAGUAGUAAUAAUUUCAAAGGAAGUGUACCCCUGGAAGUUGGAAACUUAACAAUGCUUUUAGAUUUAGACCUUUCCAACAACAACUUCAAUGGUACUAUCCCAUCGUCUUUGUUCAAGUGCAAAUGGCUCCAAACUUUAUAUUUGUUUGUUAAUAACUUCACAGGAAGUCUAUCCCCGGAAAUUGGGAAUUUCACCAUGCUUAGAGUGUAAAGCAUUUCCUACAACAAAUUUCAAGGUUUGCUAAUUAGUCUUGUUCAAGUCAAUUAAUUGGAUAAUAGUAUAACACCAUGCAUGCAUUAAUUUAGUAACAUAUUCUAUGAUUGUAUAUGAUUUGGUACCUCUUAAUUGAAAGCACAAAUACUUUCUAGCUAGCUCCGGGUAGGUUGGUACUAUAUAUGUGUCAUGCCUAGGUAGAGAAUCCACCUCCGGUUGCCCGGCCCCUCCUACCAAUUUUAUUAAAAUUAUAAAAUUAAAAAAUUAAAAAAAAGUAACUCAACCAAAUCAAAGGUGGCUUAACUGAUAAAUUUUGCCAACAUAAUCAAUAAAUGAAUCACCUCCAUGCGUCUUGGUUGUUUUCUUUACAGUUAACUUACAUGAACGUGUCACUCAUUAUAAUUAGUUCCCUUCAUUGUUUUUAAUUAGAAGUACAUUUAAUCAUUUAUAUUGUGAGAGGUGCAAUACCAAGUGAAAUAAGUUAUCUACAGAAGCUAAAAUUCAUGAAUAUUGGAAACAAUGGUUUUGCUGGCUCAAUCCCAUUCAAAAUCUUCAACAUUUCAACAUUACAGUCUAUGGGAAUGGUUUUAAAUAACCUCACAGGGCAUCUUCCAUCAAAUGUUGGUCUCUUCCUUCCAAAUCUUCAUACACUUACUCUUGGGGGAAAUGAAUUGAGUGGAACUGUUACUAAUUCUAUCUCCAAUGCUUCACAGCUCAUUGUGCUAGGCUUGAGUCAGAACUCAUUCUUAGGAUUAAUUCCAAAAACACUAGGUAAUUUAAGGUUGCUCCAGACACUCAACCUAGAAAACAAUAAUUUGGUCGUUGAAUCUCUAGAACUUGAGAGCUUUUUCUCUGAUUUGUCAAACUGUAUAUAUCUUAGAACUUUAGCUUUAUCAAAAAAUCAACUUAAUGGGAUCCUCCCAAGUUCUAUUGGAAACCUCUCAA